UGAAAAUGGCAAACAGGGGAGUGGAAGUGUAUUUAUUUGAAGGAAAUCUGAGAGGGGCAAUGUUGGUAAUUUCGCAUGGCUGCGACUUGCCUCUGCCAAACCUGGCUUCACCAAACAAUACUGUGUUCCUCAGCUUCUUCUUCUUUUGGUGGCGGUCUUCAUCUUCUGCAACCUGGUUGCCGCCACCUUUCAAUUCUCUCUAACCCUUUCCUUCAAAAUCAACUACGAAAAGACCCUCCUUUUUCCUUCCCUCUUUUUCUCUCAUCCACUGUAAUUCCCUCUUAAAGCCCUUGCCUUGCCUUCUUUCUCAUUCCCACUUCAACCCAAAACCCCAAAAAAGAAAAAAAAAAAGAAAAAGAAAAAAGUUAUAAACUGGCCCUUGUAAAUACCCAAUUUGGCUGAUUUCUUUUUUUUUUUAUUUGCUCCACAUAUAUUAUCAGCUUCAAAUUCGAUUAUUUUUCAAUCGCUAUUAGGAAUUGUGUGUUCUGGGUGGUGUUCGGCAUUUUUCUCGAGUUUUAAAUUUAUGGAUCUGGAGCUUGAUUCUUCGAUUCGAUGUCCUUCGAGGUUUGUCUAUGGCUCCAAGUCAUUGAGUUUCUUGCAUUACAAUAGGCAUAUGAAAUUGCCCGUGAAGAGUUUGCAGGAAAGCAAUAGAUACCCAUUUUGGUUGGCGUCGAAUUGCGUUGUUUCUUGAGGUUUUGGGAGCUUUAUGGGUUCUCCAUAUCAAAGGAAUAACUUGUUUGUUGGUAGAGCUAGUUUGUGAUCUGUUGAUAAACAUGGUGAGAAUUUGGGUGGUAAAAAUGAUCACUCAGCUGUGAAUUUUGAGCUUAUUAGGGAUUUGGUGAAGCAUGGAAUAGUUUUGGCAGCAAUGGUUUGUGGGGCUUUGAUCUAUGGCAGUAAAAGACUUUUGCAGUGGAGGGUGUCGUCAAUGCUGCGUAUGGUGUUGUUGGGCAGAGCAUGUUGUUACUGAGGAAUGCAUGGCCCAAGACAUUACAGGUCCUUUUGGUCAAUUUUUGGGGAAGUAACUGGGUAUUCUGAUUGAUGGAUUCUUAGCAGUUCAGCCAAUGUUAGAGGAGGCUUUAGACCUUCCACUCAGCAAAGCUAUCUUCUGAAACAGAACUCUGCAUUACAUAUGGGGUAUAACUGGUAUUAUGGAUGAGAAUCCAAGUGGAAGUUGAUUUCUUGUUCAACUUUUAAACGUGGUACAUGAGUUGACCCAUUGUCAAAUUUUAUGGCUUUGGAGUUUUGACUAAUUGUUGCAUAUUAUAUUAUAUUAAUAAAUAUGUAUCUCCUUUCAAAGUAAAUAAAUAAAUCUGUAUCCUGUGAGAUUAUCAAUUUUCUAGUAACUCAUGAAUAAGCAAGAGAUCAUGCGUAUGAUUUCCUCUAAUUCUUCACUUUUGAAACUUAAUUUGUGAGUUGUGAAUACUUUAUGCUUAAAUAAACUUUGUUCAUGCAUACAUAAACCUUCCAGACAGUAACAUAGAUAUUAUAAUUAGGCCUUCUCAAAUCUCAUAAAAAUCUUGUAGUGAUGUUCUUUAUAAGGAAAAAAAAUGGGGCACUUACCAUGUGAAAUUCUUUGCCUCCUCGCCUUUCUCUUGCAUUCUCAACUAAUUACCUGUUCUUCUCCAACAACAACAUUAUGUCCUUCUGAUCAAUGCCUUUCUUUGCUCUAACUCAAGAACACUUUUACAUUUGAAACUCAUGUUUCUCACUGUGGGUUUGAUGAUGAAAUUGCUGCUUGUCCAAAGACAAACGCUUGGAAGGGGGGAACAAAUUGUUGCAAUUGGGAUGGGGUCGAAUGUGAAACUGGGACAGGCAAGGCUUCGACCUCAGUUGCAGCUUGCUUCAUGGCCCAUACUAUCCAACAGUAGCCUUUUCCAACUUUCACACCUCAAGAUCCUCAAUCAUGCUUUCAAUCCCUACUAUGCCUCCCAAUUUUGCCUGAGAUUGGAGGUUUUGUGAGUUUGACACAUCUCAACUUGUCUUAUUUUCAUUUGGUUGGUAAAGUCCCAACGGAUAUAUCUCACCUGUCUAGACUUGUUUGACUUGACCUCAGAGAAAAUUUUUAUCGUAUGACUACUAACAACCUUGUAUUUAAAAGGCUGGUUCAAAACCUAACUGAGUUGAGACAUCUUUUUCUCUUCUACACAUAUGUAUUGGAUUGGACCGACUUCUUUGCUCGAUAUAUCAUAUUCGUUGACUUCUUACAGUCUUUCAACUAUGCAAUGACUCUCCUUUUCCAUUCCCUCUCUUUCUCUCAUCCACUAUAAAAUCCGUUGCCUCCUUUCUCAUCCCCACCUUCAAGCUCCCAAAUUUGACCUGACCGAAAUCCCAAAAAAGAUAAAUAAAUAAAUAAAAAGUAAAAACUAUAUAUAUAUAUAUAUAUAUAAACUGGCCCUUGUAAAUGCCCAAUUGGUUGAGUUGCUUUUUUUUUUUUUUUUUACUUAGUUGCUCCACAUAUAUUAUCAGCUUCAAAUCCAAUUCUUUUUCAAUCGCUAUUAGGAAUGUUGGGUUCUGGGUGUUGUUAGGCAUUCUUUUCGAGUUUUAAAUUUAUGGAUAUGGCUCUUGAUUCUUCAAUUCUCAGUCCUUCAAAUUCUGUCUAUGCCUCUGAAUCAUUAGGUUUCUUGCAUUGCAAUAGGCAUAUGAAAUUUUCCAUGAAGAGUUCUUGUUUCUUGCGGUUUUACAUGUUGCCACUUUGUUUGCUUAAUUGCUUAGGGAAAACUAAUCUCCUUGGGUGGAUUGUAUUUAGUACUCCCGAUUACAGAAAAUUGCUGGGGGUUGGUGUUAGUGUCAACUCCUUGGAUCCAUCAAUUGCCUAGAAUUUACGUCUCCUACAUGGAUAUCUGUUACUUUAAUUCUUACGUCUCUUUUGUUUUUGGUGGUUUACCUCCAAUAAGAUAGGCAUACUUGAAGCAUUUGUAUGCGUUUAUAGAAGAGUAUUUUAUGUCUCCAACUGAUGCUAGAUCAUGCAUUUUGUAAAAUUUUAUGUAAGGUAUAAACAUGUUAAGCUGAUGUAAUUCAGCGCUCUUAAGGGUUCCAAGGUUGAUAGCAGUUAAUCAGGCUUCUGAAGGCCACUCUUAUCUGUAUGCUUUGAACUUCCUGUUCUGCGUAACAUGUAGUUGCCACACUCUUUAAUUAUCAUAUUUUUCUGUUUUGUAUGAAUAUGUGUACAUUCUGAAUAAAUGAUUGAUUGGACUUUAAAAGUAAAGUGGAAUUGUAAAAUAAUCAAAGUCUCAUUUACUGUACUCUAGCAGUUUAGCAAUUUUGUAAAUUGAGUUUGCACAUAUUGAUACUCAUAAUCUCAAUCCUAAUUGUGAAUAACUGUUGACAUCAAAAUAAAAAACAGAUUUUUAAGCGGCCAACCUGGAGCUUUGAUUUCGUUAACUAGCCAUUAGUUUUGUAGUUGGGAUAUUCGUCAUGAUUACACUUAUGCAGUUGGAGAGCAAAUCUCUCUGGGUCUCCCUCUAGGCUAGGGUUUUUACAGAGUAAUUUGGAAUGGUCUUGAAGCAAGCAGGAGUUGGAGAACCUGAGUCUGAUCUGGAAUCUGGAAUCUUAAACCAGGUUUGGUUGGAACCAAUGAAGAGAAUUCGCAUUGUUAUUUCAUUUUUUUAGGUGGAUUUUUUUUUUAUCUGGAAGUCUGGGUGUUCGUUCUGGGUUCUUAGUGUCUUCUUUUUCCUUUUCUUUGGAAUUUAAUUUAACAGUUUUUAUACGAUUUUGAUUAUUGCUUUUUGUAUUCUGAAUUUUUAUUUUUUAUUUUUUUUUAUUUUUUUCCAUCAGGAAAUCUGGGUGUUCUUGACUAAUUCUUUUACUUUUUCUUUGAGAUUUAAAUUUUUAUACUAUUUUGAUUCGUUACAAUAAUUAGUUGUUUCAGAAGGGAUUAUGAUUUCUUUCAAAUAUUAGACCCUAAUUUGAGAAUUGCUAUAUUUCUCUUUUUGUCUUUCCCAAAAAUGAGAAUUUUAUGCAUAGACCCUAAUUUGGGAAUUGCACUUUUUCCUUUUUCUUUUACUUAAAAAAGAAAAAAAGAAAAAAAUUGUAUUCAUAAAGUUCUUCGCCUUUCAACACUUGCUUUCUGUGAUUAUAGUCCCCCAAUUUCAGUGAAUAUAAGGUCAGAAAUUGGUGGUUUCCUUUUUUAAAUCCUUUUGAAUUUUAUAAUUUUCUUCUUCUUUGGCCUAUUUGGUGUCAUUUUCCUUAUUAUUAUUAUUGCUAUUUUUUAUUUUCUAUUCAGGAAGUUGAUAAUCCAAGAUAAUAGAUUAUCUCACAUUUUAAGUUUGUUAUUUCAAAUCUUAUGAGUAAUUAAUUGUUAGAGCAUUCCAAAUGAUCAAGAUACUAACACUUCCCAGGUAUGAAGAUUGUUUUCUCUUGUUGUGUUCAGUUAUAACUCAUACGUUUAUUUGCUUGCUUUUCUAUCUUCAAUUCGUCACACUUUGAAUGGCUAAUUCAUGUCUUCGAGGCACUCUGUUAGGCUAAAUUUCCUCUGUAUCUUUUUGUACUGUCACAGGUGAUAUCAUUUGCAGUAUGUUUCUUUUCUCAAUCUUUGUGAUCAGCUGGAUGUUUCAUUCAUUUGCUAAAUCAAUAAUUACAACAUCAUUUAUUGCAAUGCGUCAUGUCAUAUUAGGUACAAAAGGGACUAGUCGUAUCAUUUGCAGUAUGUUUCUUUUCUCAAUCUUUGUGAUCAGCUGGAUGUUUCAUUCGUUUGCUAAAUCAAUAAUUACAACAUCAUUUAUUGCCAUCCAUUAUGUCAUGCUAGGUACUAAAGGGAAUAAGUAUGCAUUAAGAAUUUCUAGAUUAUAUGCCUCACAAUCAGCUGGAUGUUUCAUUCGUUUGCUAAAUCAAUAAUUACAACAUCAUUUAUUGCCAUGCAUCAUGUCAUGCUAGGUACAAAAGGGACUAAGUAUGCAUUAAGAAUUUCUAGAUUAUAUGCCUUUCACAAGGUCUGUUAUCUGGAUGCAAGUUUCACACAAGUUCAAAUGGACAUUUUGUUAAAAUGUUGAACAGGGUUUGUUGACUUGUAUGUUUUGGAAUAUUGAUUUUCCUGGCUUUUUCCUUAUCAAAUCUAAUUUUUGUGGUUUCUUUCAAUUAAUAUGUUGUUUAAUGUUCUCUUUUAGUAGUUUGUAAACGCUGUUUGAAUGUAUUUGGUUUUUUAUAGAAAUGCUGAAGAUGAUCUGUAUAAUGUUUUGGGUUCAGAGCUUUGGUUUUCAGGGUUAUUUGUCAGUAUGAGCAAUCUAGUAUAAGUGCAAAUGAAGGAUAUAUGUCCGGAUUUGGAUUUGUCUUGAGUGUUAUUCUUUGAGAGCUUGGUUGUUUGGUGGCACACAUGAAGGAGAGUUUGGAUCUGUUUUUCCAUCAACCAAACAAAUAGUCUUAGCAAAGUUCUUCGCCUUUCAAUACAUGCUGUCUGCAAUGUUGGGUUUAGCCGGGUGUUGCCACGCUUACUUUGGUGUGUCUCGCACGCUCAUCAACCAAGGUGUGUACUUGAUGAGAUGUGUUGCCAUUUUAAUUUACAUUUCUAUCUCUACCAUUUUGGUUUGAUAAUUGAAAUAUAUGAAUGAAAUGAGCAGCAUUUUGCAGAGGCAUGUUUCAGAUUUUUAUCUGUAGAGUAAUAUUAUGUAGAGACACCCAGUAAUAUUAUGUAGAGACACCCAGUAUACUGGACAGAGAAAGACGUUAACAUAUCUAAUUAAUUUGAUACUAUCUUUGUCUUUUUUAAGGGUGAGAUUAA
Long non-coding RNA from Ziziphus jujuba (common jujube), 5713 nucleotides. RefSeq lists it as uncharacterized. NCBI's taxonomy places the organism in Eukaryota, Viridiplantae, Streptophyta, Magnoliopsida, Rosales, Rhamnaceae. The transcript is spliced from 5 exons. The record is from RefSeq and is a predicted model, not a curated record.